Long non-coding RNA from Cyprinus carpio carpio, 452 nucleotides. NCBI's taxonomy places the organism in Eukaryota, Metazoa, Chordata, Actinopteri, Cypriniformes, Cyprinidae. The record is from Ensembl.
AGAGUGAGUAACACAAGGAGAACCAGAGGGAACCUGUACUUACAGUACGCUGUGUUCAGCCCAGAGGUGAGAGCCAUUCAAAGCAAACUAACUGUGCUAUUGUGCCCAAGUUGAUAUCUGUGGAGAGAAAAGGAAAGAGAGAGUGAGUAACACAAGGAGAAACAGAGGAAACCUGUACUUACGCCGCUGCCUGUGGAGAAAGAGAAAGCGACCGUUGCCUGUGGAGAAAGAGAAAGAGAGUGAGCACCUCGAGAACGAACUGUGUGAACCAGUACUUACCGUGAGCUGUAUUCAGCGAAGAGGAGGAAGAAGGAGGGCGCUACGGAUACCUAAGACUCAGGCCGGGGCCCGAGUCCCACGCCCCGGAUCCCCGUGGCCCCCUUGCUCCCUGACCUCUUCCCGGCCAUAGCCCAUCUGGAGGGCCGAGUCAGAGUUUAGUUUUAAUUGCCCUU